This 468-nucleotide ribosomal RNA is filed under the name uncultured bacterium. RNAcentral describes it as "partial 16S ribosomal RNA". It matches the Rfam family "Bacterial small subunit ribosomal RNA", at positions 28 to 507 of the family's 1533-position model. The record is from RNAcentral.
GACGAACGCUGGCGGCGUGCUUAACACAUGCAAGUCGAACGGAAAGGCCCUGCUUUUGUGGGGUGCUCGAGUGGCGAACGGGUGAGUAACACGUGAGUAACCUGCCCUUGACUUUGGGAUAACUUCAGGAAACUGGGGCUAAUACCGGAUAGGAGCUCCUGCUGCAUGGUGUGGGUUGGAAAGUUUCGGCGUUUGGGGAUGGACUCGCGGCUUAUCAGCUUGUUGGUGGGGUAGUGGCUUACCAAGGCUUUGACGGGUAGCCGGCCUGAGAGGGUGACCGGCCACAUUGGGACUGAGAUACGGCACAGAAGACUACGGGAGGCAGCAGUGGGGAAUAUUGCACAAUGGGCGGAAGCCUGAUGAAGAAACGCAGCGUGCGGGAUGACGGCCUUCGGGUUGUAAACCGAUUUCGAAUGUGACGAAGCGUGAGUGACGGUAAUGGGUAAAGAAGCACCGGCUAACUACGUG